Molecule: long non-coding RNA, 508 nt
Filed under: Vitis vinifera (wine grape)
Lineage: Eukaryota; Viridiplantae; Streptophyta; Magnoliopsida; Vitales; Vitaceae
Description: long non-coding RNA (VVIN_LNC001351)
Source: RNAcentral
GAGAGUUGAUUCACAUGUGAUAUGAAGUUGUAAAGUUGAGAAUAGCUUGAAGUUGUAUUCGACCUGGGGCCCUUCCAAGUUCCAAAGAAAAGCCUCGACAUUCCAUCAGAAUUUUAGGUGAAAGAACUUCGGAUUAUAUUAAGUCAAGAUACCAAUUUUUCCAUUACAUUGAAGGAUCCUGAAUUUACAUUAGAGAUGUGAGCCAAAACAGAUGGCAAACGCGGGGGGUGAGAGCUAGACAAGAGCACCACCUUUAAGAUAUUCAGUGAAGGCGAGUGCAACCAGACCCAACAUGGCAAACCUCCCAUUCCACAUCUCCGCAUCAGAAGUCAUCAACCCCUUCGAUUUGGACUCCACGCUCACACCUUUGAACAAGGGAAUCAGAGAAGCCAGUGAGAGUACAACAGCGGUUCCCAGGAACCAUGGAAUCCCACCGUUGGAUAUCUGAGCAAACACAUCCUCACCCUUCCAUAUUUCCGCACCCAUUGCCGCAACAAAGCCUACCAUG